RNAcentral lists this long non-coding RNA (451 nucleotides) under Gallus gallus (chicken). The record is from RNAcentral. Lineage: Eukaryota; Metazoa; Chordata; Aves; Galliformes; Phasianidae.
GUCACCUGGAUGCCCACAACGAUGUUCCCAUCUGUGGUUAAGUCCACUUGUCUCUCUGGGGAUGCCGCUGAUGGCAUGGCUGACUGGCUCUCCUCGCUGCUCCCAAAGACCCUGGAUGUGGUGGCACACCCAACAUCACACACCGGUCCCGGCGGCUGGUUCACAAGGGAGUAUUUCUUCCUCCAAGAGUGAGCUCGGCGCAGCUGGAAGUCCCUGGGAGGCUGCAGCUGGGGGUACCGGGCUGAGAACGCUCCCCUCCUACUGAAUGGGGGCUGUGUGGUGUUGUUCCACAUCCGUGGGGCAGAAGACAGCGGUCGCGGCACGUCCCCAUGGGUGUUCCUGUGGUUGUCUAUGAGACCCUGCAGCAGCCGGAUCUCCCUCCGCAGCCUCUCCCUUUCCUCCAUCCCUGCAACGUUCCCGCAACGCCCCACACACGUUACGUCAUCACCCC